ACGGAACUUGCCAGAGAUGGCUUGGUGCUCGAAGAGAGCCGUAACACAGGUGCUGCAUGGCUGUCGUCAGCUCGUGUCGUGAGAUGUUGGGUUAAGUCCCGCAACGAGCGCAACCCUUGUCAUUAGUUGCUACGAAAGGGCACUCUAAUGAGACUGCCGGUGACAAACCGGAGGAAGGUGGGGAUGACGUCAAGUCCUCAUGGCCCUUAUGGGUAGGGCUACACACGUCAUACAAUGGCCGGUACAAAGGGCAGCCAACCCGCGAGGGGGAGCCAAUCCCGUAAAGCCGGUCGUAGUCCGGAUCGCAGUCUGCAACUCGACUGCGUGAAGUCGGAAUCGCUAGUAAUCGUGGAUCAGAACGCCACGGUGAAUACGUUCCCGGGCCUU
Molecule: ribosomal RNA, 387 nt
Filed under: uncultured Hydrogenophaga sp.
Lineage: Bacteria; Pseudomonadati; Pseudomonadota; Betaproteobacteria; Burkholderiales; Comamonadaceae
Description: bacterial SSU rRNA
Rfam family: Bacterial small subunit ribosomal RNA
Source: RNAcentral